CCGGCAGCAGAAAGUGGGUGGACCAUAUACACACCGGCUUUUGCCCACUCCUGACUCCAGGAUGGCUGAAGAAGCCCCCAAGGACCCCUCAAAGCCCAUCGGUGCCUGGGAGGAGACGAAACCUCCCCAAUGGAAGAGUUGGCAAAAGAGCCCACAGCAGAAGCAGGAGCUGUGUGUGCCUCAGCCCUUCCAUGCCGAUUCACCAGCCUACUGUAACGCCUGCUUGAUGAGGCUAGACUCGGAGGAGAAAGAGGCUCUGGAUUACA
Mauremys reevesii (Reeves's turtle) is the source of this 266-nucleotide long non-coding RNA. RefSeq lists it as uncharacterized. Lineage: Eukaryota; Metazoa; Chordata; Testudines; Geoemydidae. The transcript has 3 exons. The record is from RefSeq and is a predicted model, not a curated record.